RNAcentral lists this ribosomal RNA (478 nucleotides) under uncultured bacterium. RNAcentral's name for it is "partial 16S ribosomal RNA". It matches the Rfam family "Bacterial small subunit ribosomal RNA", at positions 28 to 507 of the family's 1533-position model. The record is from RNAcentral.
GAUUAACGCUGGCGGCGUGCAUAACACAUGCAAGUCGAACGAUGAAACUCAUUAGAUUUCUUCGGAAUGAAAGUGACUGGAUUAGUGGCGAACGGGUGAGUAACGCGUGAGUAACCUGCCUUACACAAGGGGAUAGCCUCUGGAAACGGAGUAUAAUAUCCAACGACACCAGACAAUCGCAAGAUACUCUGGUCAAGAUGAUUAGUGGUGUAAGAUGGACGUGCGGCUGAUUAGCUAGUUGGUGAGCUAACAGCUCACAAAGGCUAUGACCAGUAGCCGGCAUGGGGGAGUGUCCCGGACCAUUGCGGCUGGGACACGUCCCGAACUCCUACGGGUGGCAGCAGUGUGGAAGCUGGCACAAUGAGGGAAUCCCGAAGGCAGCGGCGCCGCGAGAUUUAGAUAGCCUUCGGGUUGUAAUGUGUUUUUGUAUAGGCACAAAAUGACGGUACCUUACGAAAAAGCUCCGGCUAAUUACGUG